RNAcentral lists this ribosomal RNA (423 nucleotides) under uncultured bacterium. Its description in RNAcentral is "bacterial SSU rRNA". It matches the Rfam family "Bacterial small subunit ribosomal RNA", at positions 207 to 622 of the family's 1533-position model. The record is from RNAcentral.
AAGACCUUGCGCUUUUGGAGCGGCCGAUGCCUGAUUAGCUUGUUGGUAAGGUAAAAGCUUACCAAGGCUUCGAUCAGUAGCUGGUCUGAGAGGACGGCCAGCCACACUGGGACUGAGACACGGCCCAGACUCCUACGGGAGGCAGCAGUGGGGAAUUUUGGACAAUGGGGGCAACCCUGAUCCAGCCAUGCCGCGUGAGUGAAGAAGGCCUUCGGGUUGUAAAGCUCUUUCAGCCGGAACGAAACGGUUACGGUUAAUACCCGUGACUACUGACGGUACCGGAAGAAGAAGCACCGGCUAACUACGUGCCAGCAGCCGCGGUAAUACGUAGGGUGCAAGCGUUAAUCGGAAUUACUGGGCGUAAAGGGUGCGCAGGCGGUUUUGUAAGUCAGAUGUGAAAUCCCCGGGCUUAACCUGGGAACU